GGAGGCAGCAGUAGGGAAUCUUCCACAAUGGACGAAAGUCUGAUGGAGCAACGCCGCGUGAGUGAAGAAGGGUUUCGGCUCGUAAAACUCUGUUGUUAAAGAAGAACAUAUCUGAGAGUAACUGUUCAGGUAUUGACGGUAUUUAACCAGAAAGCCACGGCUAACUACGUGCCAGCAGCCGCGGUAAUACGUAGGUGGCAAGCGUUGUCCGGAUUUAUUGGGCGUAAAGCGAGCGCAGGCGGUUUUUUAAGUCUGAUGUGAAAGCCUUCGGCUCAACCGAAGAAGUGCAUCGGAAACUGGGAAACUUGAGUGCAGAAGAGGACAGUGGAACUCCAUGUGUAGCGGUGAAAUGCGUAGAUAUAUGGAAGAACACCAGUGGCGAAGGCGGCUGUCUGGUCUGUAACUGACGCUGAGGCUCGAAAGUAUGGGUAGCAAACAGGAUUAGAUACCCUGGUAGUCCAUACCGUAAACGAUGAAUGCUAAGUGUUGGAGGGUUCCGCCCUUCAGUGCUGCAGCUAACGCAUUAAGCAUUCCGCCUGGGGAGUACGGCCGCAAGCUGAAACUCAAAGGAUUGACGGGGGCCGCACAAGCGGGGAGCAUGUGGUUAAUU
Molecule: ribosomal RNA, 610 nt
Filed under: Lactiplantibacillus plantarum
Lineage: Bacteria; Bacillati; Bacillota; Bacilli; Lactobacillales; Lactobacillaceae
Description: bacterial SSU rRNA
Rfam family: Bacterial small subunit ribosomal RNA
Source: RNAcentral